GGUGGGGUGCGGGAGUGGUUUAUCCGGGCGGUCUCGAAAACCGCUAGGCCCGCAAGGGCCUCGUGAGUUCGAAUCUCACCCCCACCGCCA
Molecule: transfer RNA, 90 nt
Filed under: Candidatus Berkelbacteria bacterium
Lineage: Bacteria; Candidatus Berkelbacteria
Description: tRNA-Ser
Rfam family: Selenocysteine transfer RNA
Source: RNAcentral